UACGUAGGGGGCAAGCAUUGUCCGGAUUUACUGGGCGUAAAGGGCUCGUAGGCGGCCAACUAAGUCCGACGUGAAAUCCCCAGGCUCAACCUGGGAACUGCGUCGGAUACUGGAUGGCUUGAAUUCGGGAGAGGGAUGCAGAAUUCCAGGUGUAGCGGUGAAAUGCGUAGAUAUCUGGAGGAAUACCGGUGGCGAAGGCGGCAUCCUGGACCGACAUUGACGCUGAGGAGCGAAAGCGUGGGGAGCAAACAGG
Molecule: ribosomal RNA, 253 nt
Filed under: uncultured bacterium
Lineage: Bacteria
Description: partial 16S ribosomal RNA
Rfam family: Bacterial small subunit ribosomal RNA
Source: RNAcentral